CAGGAUGAGCUCUACCCUGACAUCUGGUGGUGAAGUAUGGGGAGUAUGGAAAGGAAUUUCAGGCGCUGCUGUGUCACCAGAACAGAAGGCAGCUGGCUCACGGGCCAGACCAGCAAGCCGUGCAUAGGGAAGAGGAGAUGCUUCUUUCUUCACAGCGCUUUGCCCUCAAGGCCAGGAAAGUGUAUAACUAUGUGCGUGGCUGGAACUUGGAAAUGAAAGAAUUGUUCUCCUGGACAGUACCCUACUUGCUGAGCUCUCCCAAGAGAAUCCCUUGAUCUGCUUAUGCCUGUCUGAGGCCCUGCACAAGUCAAAAAGAUUAGGGGAAAGUCGGUGAGAAUUGAGACACGCCUGGCUCCAACAAACCAUUUACACCAAUUCACAAAGGAAAAACCUUGGAAGUGUUUCCAAAAAUACAGUCCAGGCGUGUGAGUUAAUGCUGGUAGAGAUCCUAAUGCACAGACUUUCCCCAUAAUCAGGGUUUACCUCAAGUCUGUUUAUUCUGUAAACUCUGGUUUCUCAACAGAAACAGCUCAUCACACUACACCCAUGUUGCACAGACAUGCCGAAAGUCUUUGCAAAGAACUAGAUAUAGAACAACCCAGCUGUUUCUUUUACUAAAACUGUGUGUUAGCAAACUCUCUCAUCAUUUUCCAGUGUUGCGGGGAGGGGGUGUACUAUUGGAAGCCGCCAGAUUGACGGCACUGAAAAGCAAAGUAGUUUCUUUAUCCAUAGAACAAUCACAGCAUGGAUGUUAGCAGUGUAUCUGUCCCCAGAAUGCCCACUG
Molecule: long non-coding RNA, 784 nt
Organism: Mauremys mutica (yellowpond turtle)
Lineage: Eukaryota; Metazoa; Chordata; Testudines; Geoemydidae
Exons: 3
Source: RefSeq, a predicted model, not a curated record